This is a long non-coding RNA of Lineus longissimus, 293 nucleotides long. RefSeq lists it as uncharacterized. The transcript has 3 exons. Lineage: Eukaryota; Metazoa; Nemertea; Pilidiophora; Heteronemertea; Lineidae. The record is from RefSeq and is a predicted model, not a curated record.
AGGCACACAUCCACAGAGCACUCUUCAAAUCAUCUACACAGUGGUUAUCCAACUAGGAUUAUAAAGGCACACAUUGACAUCGACCACUGUUGCAAUCAACGACACAGUCGCUAUCCAAGUAGCAUUAUAGAGCUGUCAUGCAACGCAACAACUGUGCUAUCUGCCAUCGCACAUCAACGAAGAAGUGCAGCCGCCCACAUUCCACCUCACGUCUGUCCGACCAGCUGCAAUCCUCGAGGACGCCCCACUGUACCACGAUUUCACUACGAUGUUUCACAAGAAGGAGCAGUGCG